This is a long non-coding RNA of Strigops habroptila (Kakapo), 2472 nucleotides long. The record is from Ensembl. NCBI's taxonomy places the organism in Eukaryota, Metazoa, Chordata, Aves, Psittaciformes, Psittacidae.
GGACUAUCAUAAUCUCAUUUUAAAAAGACCUCCUUUUCCAUCUAAGAAAACUAAGGCUCAGAUCUUGUGACAUGCCCUGUAUCCCAGUGAAACAGGAUUGAAAACCAGCCUUGGAAAUCCAGAGAUGCUGGCAGCACAUUGGACCACCCUGUGACCCCUCCUUGGAAAGGAAGACAUCAUUAGCUCUCCUGUCUAGCCAAAACGUGAUUAUUUUCCCUCUUUCUCAUUCUGUAGACAAGAUCCACUCCCUUCCAAAGUAGCUCCCAAAGAACCAGUGCCAAGAUCUUGGGGAGAGGUAUGUGUGCAAGAUUUACGUGAACAUACACAUACACGGAGAUAAUGUAUGACAGCCAAACAGCACAGACAAUUGUCAUCUGUGGCACUGGGCUUAGAUGAUGUUUGGAAUGUGCUCUGAAGGAUGAGACACUAAAUUUCAUCACCCCCAAUUGAAGAUAUCAGGAUUGCAAAAGAAAUGCAAGAGAAGAAAAGAUAAGGAACUGAAGUGAAUGCUCUCAGCAAUAUAAAGGAGGUGUGGGGCUUCCUGCAGUGAAAAAGACAGCCCUCUCUGUCUUGCAUUGGAUUCAUUUAUGUCCUGUGUCUUUUCAGGCUCUGCCUGCUUUUUUAAUGUCAUGAUCCUUCUGGGUUAAGAUCUGGCAAAACUGACAACAAGGAAAUCUUUUCCCAUGCAAGGUUAGAUGUGAACAUAGUACAACAUCAACAGUGUUUGAAAUGAUGGUAUAGAGAAGGCUUUUAAAUAAAAAAAGAGUUGUAGGUCAAAAUGUUGAUUUUAAAAUAAUAAUAACAACAAUAAUAUUAACAAUAGGCUAAUUUAGAAGCGACCAUAGAAUCAUAGAAUACUUAGAGUUGGAAAGGAUCUUAAGAUCAUCCACUUCCAACCCCCUGCCAUGAGCAGGGACACCUCACACUAGACCAUGUCACCCAAGGCUCUGUCCAACCUGGCCUUGUACACUGCCAGGGAUGGAACAUUUACCACUUCUUUGGGCACCCUGUGCCAGGGCCUCGCCACCCUCACAGUAAAGAACUUCUUCCUUAUAUCUAACCUGAACUUCCCCUGUUUCAGUUUGAACCCAUCACUACAGUUUGAACCCUUGUCCUAUCACUACAGUCCCUGAUGAAGAGAGUCUCCGAUUACCAGUUACUUGUUUUAGGACACUGUAAUUUUACUGUGAUUUUAGCCUUCUUAGUUACAAAAACUGAUUCUUCAUAUAGUUUUCCGACACAUCUUAAAGACAAUGAAUCUCCAUAGCUUUCAGCUAUGGAACUUUGCAAGAACCCCUCUUGCUGUGACCUCUGAAAAGUUGUUGUUGCAGAAUCAAAGUAACAGGAUUGUAAUAUAAUUUACAGCAGAUGCAAACAGAAGUGAGGCAGAUUUUAUCUCCUGCCUGGUGAAGCAACACUUGAUUAAAGAUUAAAAAAGAAAAGAAGAGUGCUACAUACCAAGUAUGUUACAAGGACUUCAACAGCUAUGUCUGGAUCAAAUACAGCGUGCAGGGACUGCUGAAGAUCAGAAGAACCUGAUUUAAUGUUUGGGGUUUUUUAUUGCCCAUGUGCCAUGCAACCUUGGAUAAGACACUGCUCCUCAGAAUCUCUUCUAGUUUAAUUCUCAUUCUUAUCAGUAAUCCCUAAUUUGGUUUAAGCUCUUCAGGAGAGGUGCUAAAUCCACUAGAGGAAGUUUUUUCAUGGUCUAGUCUAUAGGCACUUCUACAGCACAACUGUAAAGGCACUGUUGAUACUAGUGGGUCAAGGGCCUAAUGCUUACCUAACUGGUUCUUAACAUGCACACACUGACUUAAAAAGAGUCUUGUUGGAGAUUAUUUAAUUCAUGCUUCAAUAAGAGCUUUCCCUGAGAAAACACUGACUCACAUAACACCACCUCUCUUCAUCUUGUGGUGAUGACAUGACAGCAGCACUCGCAUAUCUCAGUAAUGAUCAAAGCUCCUUCAGUAAUAGGUGUUGCAAGGACACAAAAAAGUGGUUCUUGUCAAAAAACAUCCCUCGCUGAGGAGAAUUUAAUUUCAUUUAAGAAGCACAAAUAUAGGCAGCUGAGCUCCUGCGUAGUCAUAGAAUCAUGAAAUGGUUUGGGUUAGAAGGAACCUUAAAACUCAUUCAGUUCCAACCCCCUGCCACAGGCAGGGACACCUUCCACUAGAGCAGGUUGCUCCAAGCCCCUGUGUCCAACCUGGCCUUGAACACUGCCAGGGAUGGGGCAGCCACAGCUUCUCUGGGAAAAGUCUGUGCCAGCGCCUCAGCACCCUCACAGGGAAGAGCUUCUGCCUAAGAGCUCAUCUCAAUUUCCCCUCUGACAGGUUGAAGUCAUUCCCCCUUUUCCUGUCCCUCCAGGCCCUUGCCCAAAGCCCCUCUCCAGAUUUCCUGGAGCCCCUUUAGGCACUGGAGCUGCUCUAAGGUCUCCCCUUCAGGAGCCUUCUCUUCUCCAGCCUGCCCCAGCCCAGC